GUGGGGAAUAUUGGACAAUGGGCGAAAGCCUGAUCCAGCCAUGCCGCGUGUGCGAAGAAGGUCUUCGGAUUGUAAAGCACUUUAAGUUGGGAGGAAGGGCAGUAAGUUAAUACCUUGCUGUUUUGACGUUACCGACAGAAUAAGCACCGGCUAACUUCGUGCCAGCAGCCGCGGUAAUACGAAGGGUGCAAGCGUUAAUCGGAAUUACUGGGUGUAAAGCGCGCGUAGGUGGUUUUGUAAGUUGGAGGUGAAAUCCCCGGGCUCAACCUGGGAACUGCCUCCAAAACUGCAUGACUAGAGUACGGUAGAGGGUAGUGGAAUUUCCUGUGUAGCGGUGAAAUGCGUAGAUAUAGGAAGGAACACCAGUGGCGAAGGCGACUACCUGGACUGAUACUGACACUGAGGUGCGAAAGCGUGGGGAGCAAACAGGAUUAGAAACCCGGGUAGUCC
RNAcentral lists this ribosomal RNA (450 nucleotides) under uncultured bacterium. Its description in RNAcentral is "partial 16S ribosomal RNA". It matches the Rfam family "Bacterial small subunit ribosomal RNA", at positions 354 to 796 of the family's 1533-position model. The record is from RNAcentral.